This 106-nucleotide small RNA is filed under the name Flavobacteriaceae bacterium. RNAcentral's name for it is "6S RNA". It matches the Rfam family "6S-Flavo RNA". The record is from RNAcentral. Lineage: Bacteria; Pseudomonadati; Bacteroidota; Flavobacteriia; Flavobacteriales; Flavobacteriaceae.
ACUCAACACUAUUCAAUUAGAAAGGAUGAGUCUAAGUUGUUAAAUCGUGCCAUUUUAAAUGGAUUUUUGAUCAGCUUGUUAGUUCUAUACCUGUUUUCAGGAGUUU